AGCAGGAGGAGAAAGCUCCGAGGCGAAAGGGAAACAGUAGUCAGAGCAAGAAGAGAAAGAAGAAAGGAGAGAGGAGGACGGUUGAAAGCUUCUAUUACUGCUGGGUUUUGGAGGCUGUGAUAAAAUCUUCAUCGACGUGAAGACUCACCUCGAGCGACCGUGAUAGAGAGCUCCCGAACCGGCCGCGGGGGGACCUGGCUCCUCCCUCCCGUCCCAGGAG
Long non-coding RNA from Balaenoptera musculus (blue whale), 220 nucleotides. RefSeq lists it as uncharacterized. NCBI's taxonomy places the organism in Eukaryota, Metazoa, Chordata, Mammalia, Artiodactyla, Balaenopteridae. The transcript is spliced from 3 exons. The record is from RefSeq and is a predicted model, not a curated record.